UAUUUUUUAAAAGAUUUUAUUUAUUUAUUUGAGAGAGUGAGAAGAGAGAGAGCACAAGCAGGGAGAGCAGCAGAGGGAGAAGCAGACACCCCACUGAGCAAGAAGCCCAAUGCGGGGCUUGACCCCAGGACCCUGGGAUCAUGACCUGAGCUGAAGGCAGAUGCUUAACUGACUGAGCCACCCAGGCGCCCCUUGUUAGUCAUUUGUCUGAGAAGAAAGUUCAUCAUUGUCUUAAGGGGUUUCUGUAAUGGCCUUAGAAGUUAAGAACACUUUAAGGGGCAUGGACUCCUUUGAGAAAACCACAACUGAACUCCUUGGGGUGUCAUAUUACUGUCCUCCUAGUAAAUAGCAGUGCAGACUCAUAGCAGAUGCCCCCAAAACCAGUUACUGAAUGAGUGAAUGAAUGAAUGAAUAAGGAGUGAAUAGAUUGAUGGACUGAUAAAUGAACCCAUCUCCUCCAUUUAAUUCCAGUGCUCUUUUGACCAAGUCACAAAUGCGAGAAGUUAACCCUGGCCUGACAAGGGCGGAGGACCUUGGAUUUCUCGCCUGACUGCCCUGCCUUCCCAGGAUGACCUCUCAGACGGGCUGCAUGUAAGUGCUUUCUGGGUUAGGCAAACCUUGAGAAGCAAUCUCUGAGCCUUCUGUGGGACCAGCCCGUCCACUGACCUGAAGAUAGUCCCAUUGUAUGUAAAAGACCCAAGCUUUCCCUGUCGGACUCCACCCAACCUCUUGCUCAGCUCCUGUCCUUGGCAUCACAGCUCAGGCCAGGAUACAGACUGGGACAGGAGCCAGAGAGAGCUCCAGCAAUCCACUGCUAUCCCUCUCUCUUCCGCCUCCUGAAACUGGAUUAUUUAGAAGCAAAUCACCAUCAUUUUCUCAUUCCAAACUGAAGUACUUCAGUAUAUACCUCUAAAAAAAAAAAAAGAAAAAGACUAAAAGGAAGACUUCUGAUAAUUUACAAAUCUUCAUCUUCAUCUGUCACUGACUUUGAAUGAAGAACCCUGAGCCCUGGACCUACUUUUGCCAAUCACCAGCUGUAUGACCAGCAGCAAGUCGUGUACUUUUCUGGGCUUGCAGUUUUCCCAGCUGACUGGGCGAAGGAGGU
RNAcentral lists this long non-coding RNA (1105 nucleotides) under Ailuropoda melanoleuca (giant panda). RNAcentral describes it as "lncRNA (ENSAMEG00000024000.1)". Lineage: Eukaryota; Metazoa; Chordata; Mammalia; Carnivora; Ursidae. The record is from RNAcentral.